This 480-nucleotide ribosomal RNA is filed under the name uncultured bacterium. Its description in RNAcentral is "partial 16S ribosomal RNA". It matches the Rfam family "Bacterial small subunit ribosomal RNA", at positions 28 to 523 of the family's 1533-position model. The record is from RNAcentral.
GACGAACGCUGGCGGCGUGCUUAACACAUGCAAGUCGAACGGAAAGGCCCAGCUUGCUGGGUGCUCGAGUGGCGAACGGGUGAGUAACACGUGGGUGAUCUGCCCCUAACUUCGGGAUAAGCUUGGGAAACUGGGUCUAAUACCGGAUAGGACAAUCGUUUAGUGUCGGUUGUGGAAAGUUUUUUCGGUUAGGGAUGGGCCCGCGGCCUAUCAGCUUGUUGGGGGGGUAAUGGCCUACCAAGGCGUCGACGGGUAGCCGGCCUGAGAGGGUGGACGGCCACAUUGGGACUGAGAUACGGCCCAGACUCCUACGGGAGGCAGCAGUGGGGAAUAUUGCACAAUGGGCGCAAGCCUGAUGCAGUGACGCCGCGUGGGGGAUGACGGCCUUCGGGUUGUAAACCUCUUUCGACAGGGACGAAGCUUUGGUGACGGUACCUGUAUAAGAAGCACCGGCUAACUACGUGCCAGCCGCCGCAGUAA